This 1134-nucleotide long non-coding RNA is filed under the name Strigops habroptila (Kakapo). Its description in RNAcentral is "lncRNA (ENSSHBG00005010600.1)". Lineage: Eukaryota; Metazoa; Chordata; Aves; Psittaciformes; Psittacidae. The record is from RNAcentral.
GUUCAAAAAGAUAAGUGCGGUGUUUGUUGCCAAGGAUAUCAUGGAACAGCCAGUUUCUCUAAGUAAUGGAAUUCCAUUGCUCUUAUGUUUUGCAAAUGAGCAAUAAACAGCUGUUAAGGAUUUUCUGUUGGCAGGGGACAGUGUGUAUUUGCUAUUUUCUGUACUAUUACGGUAAAUUGUAUUCACAAUUUAGUAAGAAUAUAAAAUAAUAAUGAAGUUUCUUCAUAUGGGAAAGAAUGGAGCCACAGUAGCAGAACUAUGAAAAGAUAAGAAGCUGAGCUGUGAAAUGAUCCAGAGUUGCUUAAACUUUUUAUAUGAUGUAACAUAACUGGGAAAAGGUCUGGACAAUUUUGUGAGAACGGUGCAGUUUUGUUUGAACUGAACAUUUUCCCAUAAGCAUGCAUUUCCACAAAGCAUAUUUGAAAAGCUGACAUCCGUUUCUGAAGUGGUACAUAGUCACAUAAACCAAACAACUUCAUGAAAACCAAAACUUUGGCAAAUCAAAUACUCCAAAGUUAGGAAAUGUCCUGGUCUCUCUCUGCAAGCUUGGUUCAGUCUCCUUGAGUGUAGGCACUGUGGCUCAUACGGCAUUGGUCUGUAGAAGUCACCCUCACUAACGGCACAGGGCAGCUAACUUCCAUGGGCUCUGCAGCGUCUGCUCGCUGGUGCAAGGGACCUCGCUCCUUACUGCUUUUACUUGGUCUUUUCCCCCCACUUUUUUUACUCCCUCCUUACUGCUCCAUUUCUCCACAAGUUUAGCAUUUGGCAACGUUAGCACAGGCCAGACUAAGCGACUAAAUACCAUGAUGCUGGAUGCUGCGUGUUUGUGCGCGGUCCUCUCUACAGUUCACAUUACAUUUUCAUGUAAGAGGAAACCCCAGAAUGAAGACACUAGAGCAAUUAGUUGUACUUAUAACACACCAAGGGUAGCAGCAAACCGUGUGUUGACAACUCUUGCUGUGCUGACCACAAACUCAUUUUCAUAUUCACUCUUCUAACCUCUAAAUAUAUACGUAAGAGUGAUGAAAAUUUGGCACAUAGUUUGCCAAGAGUUGACUUUGGGUGCCUCCACAUCAGCAUCUGAGUUUGGAUUAGGCGUGUCCUGUUGAAGCAAGUCUCUGAAUGGUGCCCAGC